AUGACGGCUGUCGUCGUGCUUGCAGUUUGUUCUCUGUUUGUGAGUUUUCUUGAGGAAGGUUGGGUUUUCGGUGCCAUUCGUGUUGAUCCUUCCUCGGUGUUCUUUGGCCGAAAGGCGUUGGAAGCUGGAGGAGCAUCGGCAUGGUCUCCCUCUCCGGAAGCGUCGCUGAAGCGUGGCGUCGCCGCUUCGAGCAUCCGUUCCCCCGCACCACCGGAAGCAGGGUCGCCUGCUCUGCGUCAUGGUUUCGACAGCUCUUCCAAUGAAAAACGGCACAAGGAGGCCAUGGCGGAUGAAGGGGAAAUGGUUGCACCGCGGGCGAAGGGCAGAAAGGCCAUCGAAGCAGAGAAUGGUGCACCACUACCACCACCACCACCCAGCCCAUCGGAGGAGAGAGCGACCAAAAGGGUCCUAAGCACCAUUGGUUGUAUUGUCAGUGUGAUUGUAUACUGCAACCCAAUCAUUGUAUUCUGGAGUACUAGAAGUAACAUGGCUUCGACCGCAGCUUUCUGCACCAUGACUGAUUUUAUAUCAUCUUCACUGAGUACUGGAUCUUGGCUGAUCUUUGCGAUCGUACAGCUAAAUGGGGAAGACGGAAGCAUACUUGGACUGGAGGCAGUCAUAGCUAAUGCUUUCGGCCUUACUCUUCUGGCUGUAUUUAUCAUCGCCAAGCUUGCGUCAAAAAAUGGAAUGAGUGCCAUGGUGUGUACGGGAUCACUGUUUGGAUUUGUCAUAGUCAUUGGCGUUUGCGUGUGCUUUGCUAUUGAUGUACCAGUCAAGAGAGACACGUUCGCAGCAUAUCAGAUAUCUAUUGUUGCCAGUGUCCUUCAGGUCAUCUCACAGUUGAUACCCUUCCGCAGUGUGGUAUGUGCUUAA
Molecule: ribosomal RNA, 873 nt
Filed under: Triticum aestivum (bread wheat)
Lineage: Eukaryota; Viridiplantae; Streptophyta; Magnoliopsida; Poales; Poaceae
Description: partial small subunit ribosomal RNA
Source: RNAcentral